Molecule: ribosomal RNA, 978 nt
Filed under: Triticum aestivum (bread wheat)
Lineage: Eukaryota; Viridiplantae; Streptophyta; Magnoliopsida; Poales; Poaceae
Description: partial small subunit ribosomal RNA
Source: RNAcentral
AUGGAGACUGCCAGCUCCCUCGCGUUCAAGAGAAGAACCUACGGCCUCUGUUUUCGCUGCUUGGCGUCGGAGCAUCUCGUCGCUGAUUGUCGCGGUCCUGUCAGAUGCCUGGCAUGUGGCCUCCCAGGCCAUCGUGAACGUGGUUGUCCCUCGCGCCAGCCAACGGUGGAAGGUCACCGCCUCCGUCCUCGCUCGCCUACGGCUUCACCGUGUCAUUCGAGGGACCUGCCGGGCUGCCAGGCUCCUCGCCACUUCAACAGCUCGACUCAUGGAUCUCCACAUCCGCAUCGAUGCACCUGGGCCUCGGUUGUUGCCCCUCCGACGGUGGCGAAUCCCAGCGAUUCUGUUGUUGCUGAUUUGGGAUUGCUCGAACCUCUCCUUGCUGCUCAGAUGGAAGUGUUGCGCUCCGAGAUGCAGGCCUUGACCGUCUCACGUUUGGAGGAGGUGGUCCGACCCCUUCAUGACAUGAUGACUGCUUUGGAGGGGUGGACGACUCUACUCCGGGGAUACUUGGAGCGAAUGGAGGUUGUUGUUGGCCAGCUAGGCUACUCGCCGGCCUCGCCACAGUCGUCUGAGAUGCAUAUUGCAGGUUCUGUUGGGAAUGUUGCUGGUGUUGAGGAUUUCAUCGAGAGUGAUGUGGCUAGCUGCUCGUCUGAGGUCCUAGCUUCUGUUGCGCACCUUAGGGACGCGACCCCUGUUUUGGUCUCGUCUCUGCCCAUGGAGGAGCAAGCUGAAGCCGGUGGGACUGUGGCAUGCGUGGAGGCUGCUCUUUGCAGGCUCCCGACUGUGCCUCUUAUGUCCUCGUUGCUCGAGCUCCAGGUUGGUUCUGCGGAUGGGAGGGAAGCAUGCAUGUAUGGAUGUUUCUCCCCUCGUGCCGCUCUCUGUACAUCGCCACUACCUGUCAUGCCAAGUGACUCUGGGAGUGAGGUCGUCAUCGAGGGCGUGACUCCGGUGCUACAAUGUAUGCCUGAGUUGUAG